GACGAACGCUGGCGGCGUGCCUAAUACAUGCAAGUAGGACGCAGUUGCGAACGGGUGAGUAACGCGUAGGUAACUACCUAUUAGAGGGGGAUAACUAUUGGAAACGAUAGCUAAUACCGCAUACUAGUAGAUGGACCUGCGUUGUAUUAGCUAGUAGGUAGGGUAAUGGCCUACCUAGGAAACCAUACAUCGCCGACCUGUGAGGGUGACCGGUCACACUUGGACUGAGACACGGCCCAGACUCCUAAGGGAGGCAGCAGGAGGGAAUCUUCGGCAAUGGUGGGAACCCUGUCCGAGCAACGCCGCGUGAGUGAAGAAGGUUUUCGGAUCGUAAAGCUCUGUUGUUAAGGAAGCGGUACUUAACCAGAAAGGGACGGCUAACUACGUACCAGCAGCCGCGGUAAUAC
RNAcentral lists this ribosomal RNA (407 nucleotides) under uncultured bacterium. Its description in RNAcentral is "partial 16S ribosomal RNA". It matches the Rfam family "Bacterial small subunit ribosomal RNA", at positions 28 to 526 of the family's 1533-position model. The record is from RNAcentral.